Molecule: ribosomal RNA, 405 nt
Filed under: uncultured bacterium
Lineage: Bacteria
Description: partial 16S ribosomal RNA
Rfam family: Bacterial small subunit ribosomal RNA
Source: RNAcentral
AUUGAACGCUAGCGGCAGGCCUUACACAUGCAAGUCGAACGAGUGGCGGACGGGUGAGUAAUAUCUCGGAACGUGCCCAAUGGAGGGGGAUAACUACUCGAAACGGUGGCUAAUCCCGCAUACCAUUGGAUGUGCCGAUAUGGGAUUAGCUAGUUGGUGGGGUAAAGGCUCACCAAGGCGACGAUCCCUAGCUGGUUUGAGAGGACGACCAGCCAAACUGGGACUGAGAAACGGCCCAGACUCCUACGGGAGGCAGCAGUGGGGAAUUUUGGACAAUGGGGGAAAGCCUGAUGCAGCCAUGCCGCGUGUAUGAGAAGGCCUUCGGGUUGUAAAGUACUUUUGGCGGGGAAGCGUUAUCUGCAGAAGAAGCACCGGCUAACUACGUGCCAGCAGCCGCGGUAAUAC